RNAcentral lists this ribosomal RNA (439 nucleotides) under uncultured bacterium. Its description in RNAcentral is "partial 16S ribosomal RNA". It matches the Rfam family "Bacterial small subunit ribosomal RNA", at positions 338 to 795 of the family's 1533-position model. The record is from RNAcentral.
CCUACGGGAGGCAGCAGUGGGGAAUAUUGCACAAUGGGGGAAACCCUGAUGCAGCGACGCCGCGUGAGUGAAGAAGUAUUUCGGUAUGUAAAGCUCUAUCAGCAGGGAAGAAAAUGACGGUACCUGAUUAAGAAGCCCCGGCUAACUACGUGCCAGCAGCCGCGGUAAUACGUAGGGGGCAAGCGUUAUCCGGAUUUACUGGGUGUAAAGGGAGCGUAGACGGCAGCACAAGUCUGGAGUGAAAUCCCGGGGCUUAACCCCGGAACUGCUUUGGAAACUGUGCGGCUGGAGUGCAGGAGGGGUAAGCGGAAUUCCUAGUGUAGCGGUGAAAUGCGUAGAUAUUAGGAGGAACACCGGUGCGAAGGCGGCUUACUGGACUGUAACUGACGUUGAGGCUCGAAAGCGUGGGGAGCAAACAGGAUUAGAUACCCCUGUAGUC